Molecule: transfer RNA, 48 nt
Filed under: Bathycoccus prasinos
Lineage: Eukaryota; Viridiplantae; Chlorophyta; Mamiellophyceae; Mamiellales; Bathycoccaceae
Description: partial Selenocysteine transfer RNA
Source: RNAcentral
AGGCUUCAAAGUCUCCGAGGGGAUCUGGGAGGUUCAAUUCCUCUUCAC